This 312-nucleotide unclassified non-coding RNA is filed under the name Hevea brasiliensis (rubber tree). The record is from RNAcentral. Lineage: Eukaryota; Viridiplantae; Streptophyta; Magnoliopsida; Malpighiales; Euphorbiaceae.
AUCGUGGCUUUCUGAGGAAGAGUUGGAUUACUACGCAAACAAGUAUGAGCAGACUGGUUUCACUGGUGCAGUUAACUAUUACCGCGCUUUUCCCAUGCAAGUGUUCUCGACUUUUGUGAUAUCCAAAAUUAGAUUCUCUGUUGCUCAGACUCUCCAAAAUUGUUGCACACUUGUGGCCGUAUCCUCCAAAACACACUCGGAAGCAUUUUCUAAAGAGUCUGAACAACAUAGACGAUAUUAGUCUCUUUUAGACUCUCGUGAUCAAUGCACUCUAACGUUCUCGUCUUAUGAAAAUGUAGAAACUGGGAACUG